RNAcentral lists this ribosomal RNA (253 nucleotides) under uncultured bacterium. Its description in RNAcentral is "partial 16S ribosomal RNA". It matches the Rfam family "Bacterial small subunit ribosomal RNA", at positions 524 to 776 of the family's 1533-position model. The record is from RNAcentral.
UACGUAGGGUGCAAGCGUUGUCCGGAAUUAUUGGGCGUAAAGAGCUCGUAGGCGGUUUGUCGCGUCUGGUGUGAAAAUCCAGGGCUUAACCCUGAGCCUGCUUCCGAUACGGGCAGACUAGAGGUAUGCAGGGGAGAACGGAAUUCCUGGUGUAGCGGUGGAAUGCGCAGAUAUCAGGAGGAACACCGGUGGCGAAGGCGGUUCUCUGGGCAUUACCUGACGCUGAGGAGCGAAAGUGUGGGGAGCGAACAGG